UCCUCCGACUCCGAGCUCUCGCCGCCGGCCAUCCGCGCCAGCCCGACGCCGGCCAGCUUCGCCGUCAGCGUGUCCGUCAGGAGCACGUUCGAUGACCGGACGUUCCGGUGGAUGAUCCGCUGCUCUGCAAACGGCGAGUUUCAGUAUGUGAUAGCAUGAGCUACGUCGAUCGCGAUGUUGAGCCGUUGCGCAAGUUCUAAACCAUUUCCACAGGAUUCUGCAGUGUGUUGCAUUUGCACAAAUCCUGAUCAAUUCCUCCUACUAGGUGACCUAAGUACAGUUAAUCUGCAAUUAAAUUUACUCUACUUAACCAGCAAAACAACCAAGAACUGAAGAAUUGGAAGGCACCAGAAGGCAGAAUUGCUGGGCAAAUUCCUCGAUAGAGGAAUAGUUCUUACCUGGAUCAAUCGAGACUUGGUAACCUGUACUUCUGCUCCCUUGAGAAAUCGUCGUCCGAGAAAUCUCAAGUUCAUCCUCAUUUCUGGACUUCCUGGGCACAAAGCAACUGAAAACUCCGGCGAGACUCUGCGCCGCCGCCCUGAACGAGCCGCUGCUGCGAACCGAGCUCCUGCUGAUCUCUGAAGAUGGAACGCUGUAAGAGGAAGCCUGACGACGGUAGACCUCAGGAGGGCAUGAUUGGUAUCUCUGGCAAUUCCAUGGCAAGAAGAUCGAGAGGAAAAAUUUCUUGGUCUGAUUAUUGCUUCAUCGUUUUUCCUUUGGAUGCAUAAAUAUGGGGACGAUGACUUGGUGCCGUUCAAUGGCACAAGCCUUUGCUGAGCGUGAUGUUGCUGUCCUGGAGCUAGGUCAACGGUGUGCUCCGACGACCUGCAGUUAGGUUGCUGUUCCUGGAAGGGUUCACAUCUGGUCCGUGGCAUCACAAGUUCAUACAGGAAGACGGGAAGAAGUGGAGGACUUUCUGUGAUGUCAUGGUGUGAUUGGUAAAGAUUUAGGUGCCAGAAUUGGUCAGAUUAUUAGCGGUCUACUCGCUCCGUCCCAAAAAAAGACAAACCCUGGGUUUCCGUGUCCAACUUUGAUUGUCCGUCUUAUAUGAAUUUUUUUUAUAAUUCGUAUUUUCAUUGUUGUUAGAUGAUAAAACAUGAUUAAUAUUUUAUGCGUGACUUGUCUUUUUAAUUUUUUUUCAUAAUUUUUUCAAAUAAGACGGACGGUCAAACGUUGGACACGGAAACCAGAGUUUGUCUUUUUUUUGGACGGAGGGAGCAUGCAGAUGAAAUUGAAUAUUGUUAUCUAGGAUCAAUCAGUUUAGGAUAGGAAUGUAUGACUUGGAUUUCGUGAUGCAAGGAAAAAUAAAUAGUACUA
Molecule: long non-coding RNA, 1317 nt
Organism: Oryza sativa Japonica Group (Japanese rice)
Lineage: Eukaryota; Viridiplantae; Streptophyta; Magnoliopsida; Poales; Poaceae
Source: RefSeq, a predicted model, not a curated record